CAGAAUCCGUUGGGGUGCCCGUCCGGGCUGAGAGGCGCAAGCCAACCCAUCGAACCUGAUCCGGGCAAUACCGGCGGAGGGAACGGAGCACGAUCUGGC
Molecule: non-coding RNA, 99 nt
Filed under: Pseudooceanicola batsensis HTCC2597
Lineage: Bacteria; Pseudomonadati; Pseudomonadota; Alphaproteobacteria; Rhodobacterales; Paracoccaceae
Also listed under: 1 other name
Description: Oceanicola batsensis HTCC2597 TPP riboswitch aptamer (THI element)
Rfam family: TPP riboswitch aptamer (THI element)
About the family: Vitamin B(1) in its active form thiamin pyrophosphate (TPP) is an essential coenzyme that is synthesised by coupling of pyrimidine and thiazole moieties in bacteria. The previously detected thiamin-regulatory element, thi box was extended, resulting in a new, highly conserved RNA secondary structure, the THI element, which is widely distributed in eubacteria and also occurs in some archaea.
Source: Rfam by way of RNAcentral